UACGUAGGGAGCAAGCGUUGUUCGGAUUUACUGGGCGUAAAGGGCGCGUAGGCGGCUAAUUAAGUCAGCUGUGAAAUCUCCGAGCUUAACUCGGAACGGUCAGCUGAUACUGAUCUGCUAGAGUGCGGAAGGGGCAAUCGGAAUUCCAGGUGUAGCGGUGAAAUGCGUAGAUAUCUGGAGGAACACCGGUGGCGAAGGCGGCAUCCUGGACCGGCAUUGACGCUGAGGCGCGAAAGCCAGGGGAGCAAACGGG
This 253-nucleotide ribosomal RNA is filed under the name uncultured bacterium. RNAcentral's name for it is "partial 16S ribosomal RNA". It matches the Rfam family "Bacterial small subunit ribosomal RNA", at positions 524 to 776 of the family's 1533-position model. The record is from RNAcentral.